UGGGGUUUGGUUUAGGGGUUAAGUACUCGGCUGCUAACCAAAAGUUUGGUGGUUCAAACCCACCAGCCGCUC
This 72-nucleotide transfer RNA is filed under the name Loxodonta africana (African savanna elephant). It matches the Rfam family "tRNA". From Rfam's summary of the family: Transfer RNA (tRNA) molecules are approximately 80 nucleotides in length. Lineage: Eukaryota; Metazoa; Chordata; Mammalia; Proboscidea; Elephantidae. The record is from Rfam by way of RNAcentral.